UUUGCACCUGAUAUAUUCCCAAAAUAUAUAACACGAAAGGUCUUAGAUCUGUCUCUCAGCCGUAACUGCAAAAAUUUUGAUCGCCACUCACCACUCCUUUUUUCUGGAUUGACUCGCACCCUUGUCAGUUCAGAAAUCCGAAGCAAUAACUGUCAAAUGGAAAGUACGAGUUGCUAGUUGUGAUGUCAGUUCAACAAGGCUUCCUGACCCAGUAAUUUGAGAGCUAGCUAUCGAUAUUGAAAGAUGAAGAAAUUUCUGAAGACAAAGUGAUCCAGUGACUGAUCCCAUUUUGCUUAAAAUUCUGAAGUAACCAACUACCCAAAUUCAUCAUCCUUGAGGACUUACAGGUGAGAUAACAGUAAGUUUUAUCAUGUAAUAUUGGUUACUGAUUGUGUUUCAAACUUCAGAAGAUAAGAAAGAAUACAUAGUUUUGCUAGGAAGUUGGAGCUAGGCACAAGUCAUGACUCUGCAAUAUGGUUUCCUUUCACUCCCUUGUAGUUCAUUAGGUAGCUGAUGAAUGUCCUCCAGGAGCUGUACUGUUCAUGCUCUUCGAAUAAUAAUUGAAUGGUUCCACCAGAUGUUGAGAGAUUCAUUGCACGGUAGUUAUGUUCACCUGUUGUAUAGCUGAACUCUUCUCCUUCGCCUUGUUCAUGGAAAAUUACAUCUGGAAGAAAGAGGUUAAAUAGUACAAUAAGAGAAAUGAGAUUAUAACAACAAUUUGUUGAAAUCAAUUGACAGUGCCUCACAAUUCUAGCACUUAACUCAUCUUUAAUACCCUCCCGCUCAAGUAAGUGGAGGUAACAUAGUUCUAUAUCUGUUCUUAUUUUUUAAAGUCUAUCAUCUAGAUCUUUUGAGUUUGUUUGUCUUUGUCAUAUCAUUGUACUGUGUUGGAAUGAGGCAAGUGACGAAAAUUAUCUAUCAUUAAAGUGCUCAUUAUUGUUUCUUCUCGAUCUUAGUAUGAAUUAUUUUUUUUUCUGUAUAACAUACAUUAAUAGAUUUCAUUUGAUACUCACAUUUUUCAGAGGUUGUGAAACGAUGCUUCUUGCCUAAUGUUAGUAUUAUAUUGUCAUGCUUGCUCUGCACAAAAACCAUCCUGGUAUGGAACUUUCCUGCAUGGAUGCACAAAUGAAUCUAUUUAAUUAUUUUCCCCAAGCUCCAUUCUGUUAUUGAAAAUGUAGUAUAGUGAGAUGAAAAAUCAGUUAUUGGUGACCUUGAUUGGCUGUACCUUUGGGUGUCCGAACAAGAAGUAUGGCAUGUUUCUGGCUGUUCAUGUCACCAUCCAAGGAAGAAUUGCUUAUUGUCCGCAUCUUAAGGCCGUCAACCCCUCUUAGGCCUGCAGCAGCAAGAAACACUUUUUGAUGCUAUUGUAGGAUGUUUUAACUGGAGAAAAUGAGUUGAUCUGGUUGUUGAUCUUACAUGCUGCUGCACUAGUAGUCAGUGUGAGCAAAUCUCCCAGUGCUCUAGUCUCCAAUCCCAUGUCGAAGACUGAUGAAACCUGUUCCCUGCUAGCUCCGGCAGAUUUCGCAGCCUCAGCACAUGAGGCUGCCACCAGUGCUGCAGCUGACGUAAUUGCUGCACGCAUGUUCAUAUCAGUAUCUUCUCUCCUGUCAGUCAUGACAAUGCCAUUCAGAUUGUUUGACCCAAAGGAGCAAUUUCCAAUAGUCCCUGCAACUACUGUAGAUAGCCGUGCAACUGAGAGGGCUGCAUGCAUCUGGGCAGUUCGGAGUCUUUUAUCCUCUCUGUUCCUUCCAUAUCCCUUCUGCAUCAUGUUCAUUAGCUUGCUUUUCAACCAUUCUGCCACUGGGCCCAUGAUCAUCUGGAGAACAUUAUAUGUGUCAAUGGCAAAAUAGAAAGCCCGCCUAUCUUUGAAAAGUUCUGUAUUUGCUUACACAGUUCGUGUGCCUAGUCUUGUAUUUCUGAAACUUCGUGUGGUGAACAUUUCCGCUCGAUAGUAGAGCCUGUUAGAGAAUCCAUCAGAUCAGGUCUACAAACAUCUACAAUAUGCUAAUCACCGGUAUUUGAUUUUACCCUAAUUUCAUCCACCCUUUGUUUGAUUUCUUCAUUGAGAUUGAGCAUGUUGUUCCCAGUGUCAUCCUUGCACAUAUUCCGUGUGCCAUUCCCAGAGAAUGCACUUAUACUCUAAGAAACACAGCAGUCACUUUAAGAUACUUAUCCCAUGAAAUAUAUUAGGCUACUGGACAAAUAUCAUAUCAAAUGAAUAAUUUAUAUUCCAUUUUUACAUGUCAAGUAUCUUGUUUUAGUAUAACGUGAUAGAGCAUCUCAUCCGCAUUCUAUGCAUGUUUGCAAAUCAGUAAAGCAAGCACUGUUAGGAUACACAAUGGGCCAUAAUAUAAUUAAUUCCAUGUUUGUCUAUUAUAGGAUAUAUUGCAAGCCUUUGGAUAUGUUUGGCAGUUCACCAUUUAUAGGCUAUGUCAUUUGAAUGAGCAUUAUUUAUUUAUUUUCUAAGGAAAACUCAUUUAGUUUCAAAAAUAGCUAAUUUUUUCUCGAUAUUUGUGCUUGGGUACGGAAAUUAUUUUCAUAUAUGCAAUCGUACACUGAAGUGUUGUAGUAUGCAAUAGUGUCUUGGAUGAAAUAUGUAAUUAAAUGUUUACUGAUACCAUGGAGCAUGACGAGGUAUCAUAUCAUGUGGGUGGGUUUACGUGAAAAUUGCACUCAUCUACUAUAUUUCAGUUUUCCAUAGAACAUGCAUGGUCCCUAUUGAGCACUAUUGGACCAUGUGUGCUUUUUGGUUGACCAUGAUGAAUUCUUUAUUUUAUAAGAGACAUAUAGGGGAUGCUUCCUGGCUUGAUAUACUUACAUUUACAGACAGCAGAUAAAAAAUUUCAGCAGAAGAUAAGCUUUGGGAUCUAGAAUGAAGCUUUGUAGUUUGUAGAUGGUUCUCUGUUUCCUCUGGUUCAGAAUAUUCUGAAUCUUUUGGGAUUUUUCUGUACAGUUCCAGGCCUCUUUGCUCAUUCAACUUCUGUUGCCAUCCUUCCUGCCAUGAAUCAUGAUAUGUUACAUUAAUUUAGAUGCCUAUAUCAUUCCUAAUUGGUUAACUUUUUUUAACAACCAAAUUUGAACUGAAGUUCCUUACAAUCUGUCAUAGAUGUGGCAAAAGUGGAUAUUCUAAAUGGCGAGAACAAAACACAAAUUGCUCACCUUAGGAUCGACCCUUGAGACACCAAUCUGAGAUAAAGUUCGUCCAAAUUUUACCAUUUGCCCCAUUUGCUGAUGACUGUAGUUUCCUGUGAACGUGGAAAUCUGAAAGUAGCUCAAAUUUAGCUCUUAUAUAAGAACAGACAUUUUUUAGAAUCACGAAGCCAGCUUCUGGAAAUCUAUAAAUGCAAAUAUUUGUGUCUAUGAUGCAUUUCAUAUUACAAGAAGUUGCCAUUGUCUUGUUACUAUGGAAUGCUGAAAAUAUUAAGCAAUGGAGUAAAGAACCUCAAUUUAAUUCUAUCUUUGUGAUAGAGUUGAAUCUUAAAUAAUCAAGGAAAUGCUUGCAUAUAUGCUAGAUUUCAGUUUGGGUGUUAUUUCACAAAACAAGGAGCCCCACAGGACCUCGUGGAGAUGCUUAUCCAAUAUAAAUGAAAAACGGUGUUCUAUGAUUGACUAAAAAACAUCAAUGUUGAAAGAAGCAACAUAAGAAACUGAAAUGUCUUCAAAUAAGCUUUGACAUGGCUAGUAAUCAGUGCUAUGCUUACUCAAAAGGGAAGGGUAUUCUUACUCAAAAGGGUAGGCCUGGGUGUGAUGAAUCCUCUUAGCUGCUGAUGACUUCUUGAUGCCCUUAUAUAUGUUCUAUUUAUAGAGGUUAUCUUUAAAGAAUCACAAGAUGUGGUUGGAACUUUAGAAUGGUUUCCACUUUUUCCGAUGGACUGUCAGCGGAUUCUCCAGCAGUGUGCCUUCAUCGGAGUUAGCAACCAUCUGUGGACUUGACAUACCAGUUGUUUCAGUCCUCGGAUAUUGGAGUUCAAAUGACCCAGUGGGAGCAUGAUGAGGUUCGAGGACUGGUGGCACCUUGUAACCGGGUAUGUUUCCUUCUUCCUCGUGAUGUAACUGGAGUUCAACAUUUGCAUUUCCAUACUUCCAUCCAUCUU
This is a long non-coding RNA of Panicum virgatum (switchgrass), 4094 nucleotides long. RefSeq lists it as uncharacterized. NCBI's taxonomy places the organism in Eukaryota, Viridiplantae, Streptophyta, Magnoliopsida, Poales, Poaceae. The record is from RefSeq and is a predicted model, not a curated record. The transcript has 2 exons.